AGGUCUCAGUGUUGCACAACGUCACUGACCAUGAACAAGAUGAAGAAGCUGCCUGAGAUGAUCCUGAAUCACAUCCUGGAGAUUCUCUACCUGCUGACGGGAGAGCGUGUGACUAACUCACUGACCGUGAGUCACAUGACUGUGGACAAGACGACAACAGAGAGGAUACUGACCCACACCCUGCAGAUCAUGUACCUGCUGACAGGGGAGGAGGAGUGGGAGUAUAUGGAGGGACACAAGGAGCUUUAUAAGGACGCG
Molecule: long non-coding RNA, 258 nt
Organism: Bombina bombina (fire-bellied toad)
Lineage: Eukaryota; Metazoa; Chordata; Amphibia; Anura; Bombinatoridae
Exons: 3
Source: RefSeq, a predicted model, not a curated record